This is a long non-coding RNA of Pantherophis guttatus, 428 nucleotides long. RefSeq lists it as uncharacterized. The record is from RefSeq and is a predicted model, not a curated record. NCBI's taxonomy places the organism in Eukaryota, Metazoa, Chordata, Lepidosauria, Squamata, Colubridae.
GAGGAGGAUCUUCUCAAUCCCACAACAAAGAGCCCGCAAAGCCGAUCAAUUUGCAUCCAAGAGGAGAGCCAGGGUGUUCCGAGCAGGCUUCCCUUCCCACUCUCCCCCCCCUCGCCCGGCCUUCCCAGCGCUACGGAGCACAAGAGUGACGGUCAACAGGCAACGGCGAAAGCUGAAGAGCGAAUCAAUCAAAGGGAAGUUCUCAAAGGACUAGGGGGAAAAAAGCCCAUCAAAGCCCCUCAGAGGACUGCCCGGGUCUUCAAUCCAAGAUCUACAUUAAUUAGGAUGAAUCUACCUUUGAUGCCUGAGCGAGACACACACUGCAGCUGGGAAGAGGAAGAUCCUAGUCCAUCCUUUACUGCAUUUUAAUACUGUAGCAAUCAGUGUAUAACCAUCUACCAGAAUCAUCAAACCAACUAAAACUGAAA